UGCGGAUGUGGCGGAAUGGCAGACGCACAAGACUCAAAAUCUUGCGUAGGUGACUACGUGCGGGUUCAAGUCCCGCCAUCCGCAU
RNAcentral lists this transfer RNA (85 nucleotides) under Dorea ammoniilytica. Its description in RNAcentral is "tRNA-Leu". It matches the Rfam family "tRNA". From Rfam's summary of the family: Transfer RNA (tRNA) molecules are approximately 80 nucleotides in length. Their secondary structure includes four short double-helical elements and three loops (D, anti-codon, and T loops). Lineage: Bacteria; Bacillati; Bacillota; Clostridia; Lachnospirales; Lachnospiraceae. RNAcentral also lists the same sequence under 2 other names. The record is from RNAcentral.